AGAGUUUGAUCUUGGCUCAGGAUGAACGCUAGCGGCAGGCUUAACACAUGCAAGUCGAGGGGUAGCGGGGUGUAGCAAUACACUGCCGGCGACCGGCGCACGGGUGCGUAACGCGUAUGCAACCUACCCAUAACAGGGGCAUAACACUGAGAAAUUGGUACUAAUUCCCCAUAACAUUCGAAGAGGCAUCUCUUUGGGUUGAAAACUCCGGUGGUUAUGGAUGGGCAUGCGUUGUAUUAGCUAGUUGGUGGGGUAACGG
RNAcentral lists this ribosomal RNA (259 nucleotides) under uncultured bacterium. Its description in RNAcentral is "partial 16S ribosomal RNA". It matches the Rfam family "Bacterial small subunit ribosomal RNA", at positions 8 to 263 of the family's 1533-position model. The record is from RNAcentral.